UGGGGAAUAUUGCACAAUGGGCGAAAGCCUGAUGCAGCAACGCCGCGUGAGCGAUGAAGGCCUUUGGGUCGUAAAGCUCUGUCCUAGGGGAAGAAUAAAUGACGGUACCCUUGGAGGAAGCCCCGGCUAACUACGUGCCAGCAGCCGCGGUAAUACGUAGGGGGCAAGCGUUAGCCGGAAUUAUUGGGCGUAAAGAGUGCGUAGGUGGGUUUGUAAGCGCGGGGUGAAAGGCAAUAGCUCAACUAUUGUAAGCCCUGCGAACUGUGAGACUUGAGUGCAGGAGAGGAAAGCGGAAUUCCUAGUGUAGCGGUGAAAUGCGUAGAUAUUAGGAGGAACACCAGUGGCGAAGGCGGCUUUCUGGACUGUAACUGACACUGAGGCACGAAAGCGUGGGGAGCAAACA
RNAcentral lists this ribosomal RNA (403 nucleotides) under uncultured bacterium. Its description in RNAcentral is "bacterial SSU rRNA". It matches the Rfam family "Bacterial small subunit ribosomal RNA", at positions 355 to 774 of the family's 1533-position model. The record is from RNAcentral.